Molecule: ribosomal RNA, 197 nt
Filed under: Pseudomonas sp. MNB-4-13
Lineage: Bacteria; Pseudomonadati; Pseudomonadota; Gammaproteobacteria; Pseudomonadales; Pseudomonadaceae
Description: partial 16S ribosomal RNA
Rfam family: Bacterial small subunit ribosomal RNA
Source: RNAcentral
CCUACGGGAGGCAGCAGUGGGGAAUAUUGCGACAAUGGGGGAAACGCCUGAUGCCAGCCAUGCCGCGUGGGUGAAGAAGGCCUUCGGGUUGUAAAGCACUUUCAGUUGGGAGGAAGGGUUGUUGGUUAAUACCUUGCUGUUCUGACGUUACCCACAGAAUAAGCACCGGCUAACUCCGUGCCAGCAGCCGCGGUAAU